This is a long non-coding RNA of Oreochromis niloticus (Nile tilapia), 5407 nucleotides long. RefSeq annotates it as copia protein. Lineage: Eukaryota; Metazoa; Chordata; Actinopteri; Cichliformes; Cichlidae. The transcript is spliced from 4 exons. The record is from RefSeq and is a predicted model, not a curated record.
GAUUUGUGUUCUCAUGAGUAAAUAUAUUAAUUUAUCUUGUGUUGUAAAAGACGUUUUCUGAUUGUCAUUUUAUUUUGGAAAUGAUUUUAUUUUGGUGAUCAUAGAAGACUUCACUUCCUGUUCCUUGUUAUUGUGAAGCGCGAACUGCCAGAAAUGGAUGUAUGUUUUCCCCUCCUGUGUUGCGGACAAUAAAAGAAACGGGAAAAGUAAUCAACCAACCAAGUGUGUACAUUAUUAAGAGAACAUGGCUGAAGAAGAAGAAAACUCUUCGAGCUCAACAGGUUAUGGGCCCAGGCGUGACACAACAGGAGGAAGAUGGCAGAGGUUAGUGUUCAACGGAGACGAAAACAGUUACGAACUCUGGGAGGCAAAGUUCCUCGGCCACAUGCGGAUCAUUGGUCUAAAGGACACUAUAUUAUCAGCCACUAAUCCAGAUGCAGAGAAGAAUGCUGAAUGCUACGCUGAACUAAUUCAGUUUCUUGAUGAUAAAAGCCUUUCACUGGUAAUGAGAGAUGCGACUGACGACGGAAGAAAAGCUUUAAAAAUACUACGUGACCACUACGAUAGUAAAGGCAAGCCCAGAAUCAUCGCACUGUACACAGAGCUGACGUCUUUACAGAAGAAACCAGAUGAGACAGUGACAGAUUAUAUUAUCCGAGCUGAAAAAGCAGUGACCUCCCUAAGAAAUGCAAAAGAAGUCAUCAGUGAUGGACUUAUUAUCGCUAUGAUUUUAAAGGGGCUUCCUGAAGCUUACAAGCCAUUUGCUAUUCACACAACUCAAAGCAGUGAAGAUUUAACAUUCACACAGUUCAAAAGCAACCUACGAAGUUAUGAGGAAACCGAGAAAUUUGACAACAAAGUAAAAACAGAUAAUGUGAUGAAGGUCGAUUUAACCUCCAUCACCUGUCAUGGAUGCGGAAACCGAGGACAUUUUGUAAAAGAUUGUCGCCAAAAGGGAACACCUAAGUGGUGUAGCUACCAUAGAAGCUCGACACACAGUGAUGAGACAUGUAGAAGAAAAACCAAGUACAGAGAUGAUGCGAAACUAACUGUAGAAAAACAAGAGGACAAGAAAGAAGAGCAGACUUUUGUAUUUAAAGUUAGUCAAAGACUCCUGCCUACUGACAUAAUAAGAGAAGGACUAAUGGUGGACUGUGGUGCUACUUCACACAUCAUUACAGAGAAGAACAAGUUCAUAAAGUUUGAUGAGACUUUUGAUCCAGAGAAACACUACAUGGAGCUUGCUGAUGGAUCCAGGACAAAUAACGUCGCACUCAAGAGGGGAGAUGCCAACGUCUCCCUACGGGACGUACAAGGACACUGUACCACCAUCACACUGAGAGAUGCUCUGUUCAUCCCAUCCUACCCUCAGAGCAUAUUUUCAGUGAAGGCAGCUACAACCCAUGAAGCACAGGUGGUCUUCAAGAAGGGACAGAAUGAGCUAGUGAACAAAGAUGGGACAGUCUUCUCUAUCGAAGAAUACAACAGACUCUACUAUUUGAAAACGAGCAACCUGUGGAAUCCCCCAAACCUAUAAAGAGGCGCUGAUGUCACCAGAGGCACCAAGGUGGAAACAGGCAAUGGCAGAAGAAAUCAACUCUCUGAAAGAGAAUGACACAUUCGAACUGACUACUUUACCUACUGGUAGAAAUACCAUUGGAGGAAAAUGGGUCUACGCUCUCAAAGAAAAUGAACAAGGACAAAUAUUCAAAGCCAGGUUUGUAGCAAAAGGUUACAACCAAACACAAGGCAUAGACUACCAAGAGACAUUUGCACCAACAGCAAACAUGACAUCUGUGCGAGCCCUAAUGCAAAUAUCAGUCCAGAAUGAUCUCAUUAUCCACCAAAUGGAUGUUAAAACUGCAUAUUUGCAUGCUCCCAUUGAGGAAGAAAUAUACAUGGACCAACCAGAAGGUUUUGAGCAAACAGAGUCAGGAGAAAAUUUGGUGUACAAAUUAAAAAAAUCCCUUUACGGGUUAAAACAAUCAGGGAGAAACUGGUACAAACUCUUGAAUGACUACCUUGAACAAAAUGACUUUGAAAGAAACCUUUCUGAUCACUGUGUAUACAGGAAAGACAUUGACCAUGAAACUCUACUGGUUAUCAUCUGGGUAGAUGACUUGAUCAUUGCGGCUAGCAAUAAUAACUUGUUAAACACAUUCAAAGAAACAAUGAGGUCAAAGUUUAACAUGAAAGACCUGGGGAAAAUAUCCAGUUUUCUUGGUAUCCAGUUUAUACAAAAAGAGGCUGAAAUCAGGAUGAAUCAGAAGAGGUACAUUCAAAGAAUGUUGGAACGCUUUGGGAUGUCAGAUUGCAAAACUAGAUCCACACCGUGUGAACUAAAAACGGACACUACUACAUGUGGAGGAAGUGAUGCAAAUGAGACAGUUAACUCAAGAGAGUACAGAGAAAUAGUGGGCAGCCUGAUAUAUGCCAUGACGUGUACGAGACCAGAUAUAAGCUGGGUUGUUAGCAGACUAUCUCAAACACUAGCUCAACCCACGAGAGAGGACUUAGUAACGGCAAAACAAGUCCUCAGAUACCUAAAAGGUACAAAUGACUUUGAACUGAUCUUUAAGAAAAGCAGUGAGGAUCUAGAUCUAAUUGCUUACAGUGACUCUGACUGGGCAUCCUCUGUAAAAGACAGACGCAGUACAACAGGCUACUGUUUUGCACUUACUAAAGAGGGACCAGUAAUAUCUUGGAAAACGAAGAAACAGCCUACAGUGGCACUCUCAACAUGUGAAGCUGAAUACAUUGGUCUUGCAACCACUACUCAGGAAAGCAUGUACUUAACCCAACUGUUAAACGGCAUGGACAGAAAAAGGUACACGUGUACUAAACUGUUUGGGGACAACCAAGGGGCCAUUGCUUUGAGUAAAAAUCCAGUGAACAGACAGAGGUCGAAGCACAUUGAUGUGAAAUAUCACUUCAUUCGUGAAGCGGUAAAUGAAGGAAAAAUCCGCAUUGAACAUUGUCCAUCAGAAGAAAUGGCUGCAGACGUACUAACAAAACCAGUUACAAGAGUGAGACUCAGAAAGUUUCAAAAAUGGUUCUUUGGAAAUGCAUAAGAUGCUGUGGGUUAACAGCAUGAGAACAAGGGGGGGUGUUAGAUUUGUGUUCUCAUGAGUAAAUAUAUUAAUUUAUCUUGUGUUGUAAAAGACGUUUUCUGAUUGUCAUUUUAUUUUGGAAAUGAUUUUAUUUUGGUGAUCAUAGAAGACUUCACUUCCUGUUCCUUGUUAUUGUGAAGCGCGAACUGCCAGAAAUGGAUGUAUGUUUUCCCCUCCUGUGUUGCGGACAAUAAAAGAAACGGGAAAAGUAAUCAACCAACCAAGUGUGUACAUUAUUAAGAGAACAUGGCUGAAGAAGAAGAAAACUCUUCGAGCUCAACAGUGAGUGACGUGUAAAAGUCCACGUGAACCUCACAGCCACCACAGCAACCGUCGGGCAGAACGUCACUCUGCAGUGUCGAGCUCCAAACAAGAAGCUCAUCACAGUUGUAGAGUGGAGCAGAGCUGACCUGCAGGAUCAGUAUGUGUUUUUGUUCCUGGAUGGUCAUCCCGAUAGAGGCAAGCAGCAUCCAUACUUUAUAGACAGGGUGGAUCUGCAGGACAGACAGAUGAAGGAUGGAGACGUGUCUUUGAUUCUGAACGAUGUGAACAUUAAUGACACUGGAACAUAUGAGUGUCGUGUCGCAACAGGAACAAAUCGCAAGAGGAGAGCUCAUCUGAAGACCGACCCCAUCAGCAUCAUCUACCUGAGUGUUGUUGAUCCUCCAGGUCAGACAGGAGGACACACAGAGGAUGGAUGGAUUAUCAUUGUUAGUUUUGUUAUAGUUUUUGGUGUCGCCACUGUUGUUACACUUGUUGCUGUUGUUGUUGUUGUUGUUGUUUUUCUUUCAAAACAAAAUGUGAAAAGUAGAGGCAGGGGGCUUGGAGAAACCUCACUCUGAUAGCCCUGGGAUGAUUAUUUAAGAAAUAUCUAAAAUCUCUUCACAGCUGAACUGUGAGUGUCCUGCUGAAAUUCUUCAUGUUACUUUGUUGAAUGACAAGUUCAAGCUGCAAAUGUUAAAGAACAUUCUCAAAGUGGUCCUCUCAAUAAUGUUUUUUAAAUCUGCUAAAGUUGAAGGCCAAGGAACAGAUUCUGUUCCCAACAGUACAGCUAAAAACAUCUGAUGUCUUGAUAAGUUUGAUUCCAGAGCUGUUUCAGAAUGAUAAUAAGACUUUAUAAUUCCCAGAGGGAAUCUGUAUUGUUACAGAAUGUCACUUAAAAUGUAUAUUAAAAAUGGAAAAUUCUAUACAAGACUACAUCGACAAAUAAAAAAUUCAAAUAUAACCGGUAAAUUAUAAUGAAGAUAAAGAUUAAAGCAAUAAUAUUUACAGUAUAGACAAAAUAGUACAAGUGAAAUUAUUGUUGAUGUGAUAAAGAGGUGUUAUAAAGUUUGAUUAUCACAUGUAGGUUUCACAGGUAGUGGUUGAAUGAGUCUUUUGUUUUGAUUGGCUUCAUUUCAGUGUGAAUUCUGGCUUUUCGCUUAAAAAUAUAUCUUUCAACAGCUAUUGAAACCUGUUAAGUAACUUACCUGUAAUUUUUAAGACGAGGAGAAUGCUGUUCAGGUUAUAACAUCAUUUUCAAAGCUAACUUUAAUUGAUUUAAUUGAUCUUUAACAAGAACAACUGCCAAAGCAAAGUCAGUUUGCUUUGCACAUAAAAUUCCUCUAAUUGGCUAGUAAGGGGAAUAUCAUUGGUAUACAACAAAACACUGGAGUGAGUCAUACAACUUAUUACCUCAAGAGCCAAAUCAUUUAAAUAUAUUGUAAACAACAUAAGAGAAAGAGCAUCACCUUGGCCCCAAGUUGAUGUUGUUCAUCUCAAUCUAGCAUUUUCAGUGGGAAAAACACAAAGCGAACCUGUUUAUGUGUAAAUUUAUUUCAGAUUGCUAUAACACUGCACACAUCUUCAGUCUUGGAGAAGUCUUGGAGACUGAAGAGGCCACUUUGAUGAGUGACCAAAUCUUUCUCCGACUGAAAACGCUACGUCCAGAUGAACAGAAUCAACUUUUUGGGAUUUCCCUACCUGGAUGAUUGAGCAUGCACGAAGACAAAGGAAGUAUUAAACAAGCCAGCUUUCAUAUUACUGAUAUGCAAACCAGCAACAUGAUGACAGUUAAAAGAUUUUAGUGCUUUAGGCUCCAUAACAAUGUUCUGUGUUCAUAUAAUCUUACAAUACAAGACAUACUCAACUGUACAACCUAUCUUUUGCAUGCAAUAUUCUGACUGUAUUCUGUGACCCUGGCAGAAGAUAACUAUGCCUGUUAUCCUUCUUUGUCAAAUGCCAUGCAAACUGCUGCCAUACUCUGUACUGUUGGUUGCCCCCUUUUCCAAAUGCAAAUUAAAACCUCACAAAGAGAA